Molecule: long non-coding RNA, 1096 nt
Organism: Cryptomeria japonica (Japanese cedar)
Lineage: Eukaryota; Viridiplantae; Streptophyta; Pinopsida; Cupressales; Cupressaceae
Exons: 3
Source: RefSeq, a predicted model, not a curated record
GAUAGAAGGGUUAGGAUUCGAUCUAUGCCAAAAUUUUAAAGAUUUGGGUAGAUCCUUGAAGACGAAGUAAAAAUCUGUCGUUGUAAAUCGAAACAAGUAAUGGAGAAUUGCUGUUAUUUUAGAUUUCUAUAUAUACACGGUUUGUAAGGAUCAUUGCAUUCAUUGUUGUGGCUUAAUCCAUAUGGACCAUUGCAUUCAUUGUUGCGGUUCAAUCCAUAUGGUGUUUUUCUCUAUUUCAUCAUCAGCUUGUUUUGAUGGGUAUGCUCAUGCUUAUUUCAUUUCUUCUUCUAAACAUAAAUUAUCUGUUGGAGUCUCCACAUAUUCUCAUAUGAAAGAGGAGCUUUAAGUAUGUAAUUGUGUUUCAGUUUUAAGCUUCAAAUUUCAAAGGCACCAACAAUUAAAGCUCCACUUUCAAAUGAGAUUAUGCGAGAAUCCAACAAAUAAUUUAUAUUCAAAAGAAAUGAAUAUAGAUAUGAAUCUAGAGUUGAGAAUGAUGUGAGAAUCACUGAAAAAGAAGAUUGAAACAGCAGCUAUAAGGAAACUGGUUUUGAUUGAUCUCAUUCUAUGAAAAUUUCAGCAUUUGUAGGGUUUUGUGAUAUUUUUCAUGGGAACUCUACCCAUUUUUCUCAUAAAAAAUUUGUGCAGAAUCUGUGCUUUUCUUUCUGGGAACACCUACGGGGAUGGAUCAGUUUUGUUGUGAUUAAUUUCGUUCUACAACAAUUCUGUGUUUAUCUGCUGAAUAUAUGGCAUUGGUUCUGUGGAUUUAUCUAAGGCUGUUUCAAUAUAAGGUGUUAGUGUUAUAUCUCUAUUUGUUUCUUCAGUUGAAUGGUUCUAAAUGAGGAUCACGUCUUACACAGUGCAAGGCUCCAACAUCAUAAGGAUGAGGCCACUAUCAUUCCUUGGCUCUUACCUCAAGAGGUUUCACCCUGUAGGCUUGUCUUGGGUGCAUUCUGCUUGUCUUACUUGUCUUAUUAGUAUGAUAUAAGAUUUUGACUAAUUCAUUGGAAAUUUUUUAGUAGAAUGAUGUAAGAUUUAGACUUAUUUAGUGAAAGUUUUAUUGUAUUUUUAUAAUAUUAUCAUAAACAACAUAAUUUUA